UUGACCUCGGAUCAGGUAGGGAUACCCGCUGAACUUAAGCAUAUCAAUAAGCGGAGGAAAAGAAACCAACCGGGAUUACCUCAGUAACGGCGAGUGAAGCGGUAACAGCUCAAAUUUGAAAUCUGGCUCCUUUGGGGCCCGAGUUGUAAUUUGUAGAAGAUGCUUUGGGUACCGGUCCAGCCUAAGUUCCUUGGAACAGGACGUCAUAGAGGGUGAGAAUCCCGUAUGUGGCUGGCGCCGGGGCCUGUGUAAAGCUCUUUCAACGAGUCGAGUUGUUUGGGAAUGCAGCUCUAAAUGGGUGGUAAAUUUCAUCUAAAGCUAAAUAUGGGCCAGAGACCGAUAGCGCACAAGUAGAGUGAUCGAAAGAUGAAAAGCACUUUGGAAAGAGAGUUAAACAGUACGUGAAAUUGUUGAAAGGGAAGCGCUGGCAACCAGACUUGGGCCCUGGUGAACCGUUGGAGCUUGCUCCAAGGCACUCGGCAGGGCACAGGCCAGCAUCGGUUUGGGUGGUUGGAGAAAGGCUCGUGGAAUGUAGCUGUCCUCGGGCAGUGUUAUAGCCACGAGCGUCAUGCAGCCUACCUGGACCGAGGACCGCGCUUCGGCUAGGAUGCUGGCGUAAUGGUUGUCAGCGACCCGUCUUGAAACACGGACCAAGGAGUCUAACAUCUAUGCGAGUGUUUGGGUGUUAAACCCAUGCGCGGAAUGAAAGUGAACGUAGGUGAGAACCCGUGAGGGUGCAUCAUCGACCGAUCCGGACGUCUUCUGAUGGAUUUGAGUAAGAGCAUAGCUG
RNAcentral lists this ribosomal RNA (790 nucleotides) under Podosphaera perseae-americanae. RNAcentral describes it as "eukaryotic LSU rRNA". It matches the Rfam family "Eukaryotic large subunit ribosomal RNA", at positions 1 to 808 of the family's 3401-position model. The record is from RNAcentral. Lineage: Eukaryota; Fungi; Ascomycota; Leotiomycetes; Helotiales; Erysiphaceae.